GCUCGCUCCAGCAGGGCACAGAAUAAAACUGGAAUGAUACUGAGGAGAUUAGCAUGGCCUCUACACAAGGAUGACACACAAAUUCAUGAAGUGUUCCAUAUUAAA
Molecule: small nuclear RNA, 105 nt
Organism: Mirounga angustirostris (Northern elephant seal)
Lineage: Eukaryota; Metazoa; Chordata; Mammalia; Carnivora; Phocidae
Source: RefSeq, a predicted model, not a curated record